UACGGAGGGUGCAAGCAUUAAUCGGAUUUAUUGGGCGUAAAGGGCGCGUAGGCGGAUGGGUAAGUCAGAUGUGAAAGCCCGGGGCUCAACCCCGGAAUGGCAUUUGAAACUGCCCGUCUCGAGGAUGGACGGCGAAAUCGGAAUUCCACGUGUAGCGGUGAAAUGCGUAGAUAUGUGGAAGAACACCUGUGGCGAAAGCGGAUUUCGAGUUUAUACCUGACGCUGAGGCGCGAAAGCAAGGGGAGCAAACAGG
Molecule: ribosomal RNA, 253 nt
Filed under: uncultured bacterium
Lineage: Bacteria
Description: partial 16S ribosomal RNA
Rfam family: Bacterial small subunit ribosomal RNA
Source: RNAcentral